Molecule: long non-coding RNA, 664 nt
Organism: Chinchilla lanigera (long-tailed chinchilla)
Lineage: Eukaryota; Metazoa; Chordata; Mammalia; Rodentia; Chinchillidae
Exons: 5
Source: RefSeq, a predicted model, not a curated record
CAGAGCCGUCAAGGAAGAGUGAUUUGCGGCUAGAAUCCUUGCAGGAAUCCUGAAGGGCACUGAGGGCACACAUACGUAGGUGGAUUUAAAUUCUAUUAUUGGCAGCUGCCAAGAGUGUGAGGGUGAUCUGGCUACGACAUGCUUCACCUCACUGAUCGCCAGGGUUGAUUCAGCUCAUCUGGCUGGCUAGGCAGAUGUGCCCUUUCUGCCUCACUGCCGCGUGCUUCCCAGUUAAAGAAGACGACCUUCCAGAAAGGAAGAAAAAAUAGGGGGAAGAAGACGAACGUUAAAGAAAUGUAACUCAAUGGGCAAAUCCUACACAGCGUGAUGAAACCCGAAGGUGUUACGUCACUGGGUAGCUGUUACCUUGUGUUUACACUACGGCUGGCACUGUGUUCCACAAGCGGGACGAGACGUGAUCUGGAGCAGCAUUUGGAGUCCCAGCAAAUGUCCUCCUGAAGCUCCAUGCUGUCAACGGGUGAGGCUUCUUCGGAUCUAGAGCGUGUGAUGCUGGAACUGAUUCAUGGAGCAAUGCGAGGUCAAGGGCGCAAAGCUGACGGGAACCAGUCCUCCUCUGUGAUGCCCUCUGCCGUGUGCCGCCCUGACUUGGAGCCAGAUGAUUACGAGCUGAAACCUCGACAGACUGUGCACUAAAUAAACCUUU